CCUACGGGUGGCAGCAGUGGGGGAUAUUGCACAAUGGGGGGAACCCUGAUGCAGCGAAGCCGCGUGGGUGAUGAAGCGCCUCGGCGCGUAAAGCCCUGUUAGCAGGGAAGAUAAUGACGGUACUUGUGGAGGAAGCCACGGCUACCUACGUGCCAGCAGCCGCGGUAAUACGUAGGGUGCUAGCGUUAUCCGGAAUUACUGGGCGUAAAGGGUGCGUAGGUGGUUUAUUAAGUCAGAGGUGAAAGUCUACGGCUCAACCGUAGUAAGCCUUUGAAACUGGGGAACUUGAGUGCAGGAGAGGAGAGUGGAAUUCCUGGUGUAGCGGUGAAAUGCGUAGAUAUUAGGAGGAACACCAGUUGCGAAGGCGGCUCUCUGGACUGUAACUGACACUGAGGCACGAAAGCGUGGGGAGCAAACAGGAUUAGAUACCCUUGUAGUC
RNAcentral lists this ribosomal RNA (439 nucleotides) under uncultured bacterium. RNAcentral describes it as "partial 16S ribosomal RNA". It matches the Rfam family "Bacterial small subunit ribosomal RNA", at positions 338 to 795 of the family's 1533-position model. The record is from RNAcentral.